Long non-coding RNA from Dreissena polymorpha, 1313 nucleotides. RefSeq lists it as uncharacterized. The transcript has 4 exons. The record is from RefSeq and is a predicted model, not a curated record. NCBI's taxonomy places the organism in Eukaryota, Metazoa, Mollusca, Bivalvia, Myida, Dreissenidae.
GGCGUGCUCGAAAAUGUUAAAGUUCUUAUUUCAUGGUAUAACUUUGGUAUGCUUGGACCUAGAGUCUUCAAACUUGACAUGAAGGUUGGCCAGGAUUAACAGAUGACCACUGGUCAUUUCAAGGUCAUUCAUUUGAAGGUGAAGGUCACUGUGACCUUCAAUAUAAAAAUGUUAAAGUUGUUAUAACUUUGGUAUGCUUGGACCUAGAGUCUUGAAACUUGACAUGAAGGUUGGCCAGAACUAGUAAGUAACCACUGGACAUUUCAAGGUCAUUCAUUUGAAGGUCAAGGUCACUGUGACCUUGAAUGUAAAAAUGUUAAAGUUGUUAUAACUUUGGUAUGCUUGGACCUAGAGUCUUGAAACUUGACAUGAAGGUUGGCCAUAACUAGUUAGUAACCACUGGUCAUUUCAAGGUCAUUCAUUUGAAGGUCAAGGUCACUGUGACCUUGAAUGUAAAAAUGUUAAAGUUCUUAUUUCAUGGUAUAACUUUGGUAUGCUUGGACCUAGAGUCUUCAAACUUGACAUGAAGGUUGGCCAGGAUUAACAGAUGACCACUGGUCAUUUCAAGGUCAUUCAUUUGAAGGUGAAGGUCACUGUGACCUUCAAUAUAAAAAUGUUAAAGUUGUUAUAACUUUGGUAUGCUUGGACCUAGAGUCUUGAAACUUGACAUGAAGGUUGGCCAGAACUAGUAAGUAACCACUGGACAUUUCAAGGUCAUUCAUUUGAAGGUCAAGGUCACUGUGACCUUGAAUGUAAAAAUGUUAAAGUUGUUAUAACUUUGGUAUGCUUGGACCUAGAGUCUUGAAACUUGACAUGAAGGUUGGCCAGAACUAGUAAGUAACCACUGGACAUUUCAAGGUCAUUCAUUUGAAGGUCAAGGUCACUGUGACCUUGAAUGUAAAAAUGUUAAAGUUCUUAUUUCAUGUUAUAACUUUGGUAUGCUUGUACCUAGAGUCUUCAAACUUGAAAUAAAGAUUGGCCAGUACUAGAAGAUGACCACUGGUCAUUUCAAUGUCAUUCAUUUGAAGGUCAAGGUCACUGUGACCUUCAAUGUUAAAAUGUUAAAAUUGUUAUAACUUUGGUAUGCUUGGACCUAGAAUCUCAAACUUGACGUAAAGGUUUGCAAGCACACUUAGAUGACCACUGGUCAUUUCAAGGUCAUUCAUUUCAAUGUCAUUCAUUUGAAGGUCAAGGUCACUGUGAACUUAAAUGUUAAAAUGUUAAAAUUGUUGUAACUUUGGUACUUUCCUGUCAUUUAAAUCAAAAAUCCGGCUUCAAUGCGGUCAUCUCCGACCGCGGAACUCUUGUUUAUU